Molecule: long non-coding RNA, 717 nt
Organism: Pongo pygmaeus (Bornean orangutan)
Lineage: Eukaryota; Metazoa; Chordata; Mammalia; Primates; Hominidae
Exons: 3
Source: RefSeq, a predicted model, not a curated record
GGUCCUGCUCCUGCCAUGUAAGAUGCCUGUUCCCACUUUGGCUUCUGCCAUGUCUAAAAGCUCCCUGAAACCUCGAAGCAGAUGCCACCAGCUUCCUGUGCAGCCUGCAGAACUGCUCUGGGCUGCCGUCUUCUGGAAGAGGUGCUUUCUAAGACAAUCCAUCCAGAAGUGUCUAAGACUGAAUACAAAGAAUUUCUUCAAGAGUUUAUAGAUGACAAUGCCACUGAAAAUGCUGCAGAUGAAUUGAAGCAGUGUCUUUCAACCCGUCAGAUGAAACUCUGGCCAAUGUUGAAGUGUUUAUGAAAAGUUAGAAAUAUACCAAGAAAAUCCCCAUAAGGAUGAAAGUGAACAUCACCUCGGGAAAUCCUGUCGCUUCCUACAACAUGGAUGAAUCUUGAGGACAUAAUGCUGAGUAAAAUGAGGAGUUGCAGAAACACAAAUGUUGCAUGACCCUUGCAUAUGGACAUCUGCAGAGUCAAAGUCAGAGACACUGAAAGAAACAGAGUGGUUGUCAAGGCUUGGGUGCAGAGGAGAAAGGGGUGUUGUGUUUAAUGGGUCCAGAGUUUCAGGUGUCCAGGACAAUUAUAUUCUGGAGUUGGGUUGCAAAACCACGUGAACAUUUGGAACACUCCUGAACCAUAUGCUUAAAAUGACAACUUUGAUGAGAUGUACAUUUUACCCCAACUAACAAUUUAUUAAAAAUUAAAUAUCCAUUGC